Molecule: ribosomal RNA, 120 nt
Filed under: Linum usitatissimum (flax)
Lineage: Eukaryota; Viridiplantae; Streptophyta; Magnoliopsida; Malpighiales; Linaceae
Source: RNAcentral
GAAUGAGAUCAUACCAACACUAAUUCAUUGGAUCUUGUCAUCACUCUUAAAUUAAACGUACUUGGUUGAGUGUAGUACUACGAUGGGUGACCUUUUGAUCCAUCCUCCGAUUGCACACCU